RNAcentral lists this unclassified non-coding RNA (367 nucleotides) under fungal sp. RNAcentral describes it as "partial internal transcribed spacer region". The stretch from base 1 to 46 matches the Rfam family "Eukaryotic small subunit ribosomal RNA", at positions 1786 to 1831 of the family's 1831-position model. The record is from RNAcentral. Lineage: Eukaryota; Fungi.
AAGUCGUAACAAGGUUUCCGUAGGUGAACCUGCGGAAGGAUCAUUAAAGGCUGGCCAUGCGCGUGGAGCGCGUGGAGCGCGUGGAGCGCGUGGAGCGCGUGGAGCGCGUGAAGCGGAGCAAAGCAAAGCGACGCAUGGCCAUAAAAGACAGUGGGGUGUGCUGCAAGUGUGGGUCAAGUGUCGAGCGAAAGCGAGACACUUGAGCGCGCAGCAGCGUUGGCGAGGGUUGGCUGUUGGUUGGCGUGGCGACGAUCUGGAUUUAACAAUCGCUUGAUUGUUUCUGUUGAUCUCGCCGUGGAAAAGACAUUUUCUUGCGGAUUCGCAUUUAAUGUAUUGGCAACUGUUAACAACGGAUCUCUAGGCUCCU